AACGAACGCUGGCGGCAUGCCUAAUACAUGCAAGUCGAACGAGACCUCCGGGUGUUGUGGCGUACGAGGGUGUAAGGCGCGGGAAGCUGCCCUUAGGUUCGGAAUAACUCCCCGAAAGGGGUGCUAACACCGGACAAGGUCUCCGGACGGAAGAUAUAUCGCCUUUGGUUGGGCCCGCGUUGGAUUCGCUGGUGGGUAGGGUAAAAGCCUACCACGGCCACGAUCAUUAGCUGGUUCGGGAGACUGAUCAGCCACACUGGGACUGGGACCCGGCCCGGACUCCUACGGAAGGCGGCAGUGGGGAAUAUUGGAAAGUGGGGGAAGGCCUGAUGCAGCACGGCCGGGUGAGUGAUGAAGGCCUUGGGGUUGUAAAGCUCUUUUAACCGGGAUGAUAAUGACAGUACCGGGAGAAUAAGCUCCGGCUAACUCCGUG
RNAcentral lists this ribosomal RNA (433 nucleotides) under uncultured bacterium. RNAcentral describes it as "partial 16S ribosomal RNA". It matches the Rfam family "Bacterial small subunit ribosomal RNA", at positions 29 to 507 of the family's 1533-position model. The record is from RNAcentral.